AAUGUUGAAAAUGAGCAAAAGUGCCUAUGGGGUGCAGCAAAUACAUUUGACCUUGACUCUGCUGUAUCUCUUAGAAUUGUGAAAACUGUUAAUGGAUGGAAUUUCAUGGGAAAAGAAGCUGAGUACGGUACUGGAAGUACUUCUACUAAUAUGAUGAAUCUUGCAAUAAGACAUCAGGAUGAGAAUUCCUCUGAUGAGGGCUUCACUGAAUCUUUCUAACUUAGCUUAAGGAAAUGAAAGAAAUGUCAUAUAUUUUCCUAUCAAAAAUUGUUUGUUAAAGGUGUUAUCUGGAGUCAUAGGAUGUUUUUUGUUUUGUGUAUGGCUUAUAAUGCCAUUUUUUGUCUUUCUGGUUUCCUUGAUUAUAUCCCCC
This 370-nucleotide long non-coding RNA is filed under the name Vigna radiata. Its description in RNAcentral is "long non-coding RNA (VRAD_LNC015893)". The record is from RNAcentral. Lineage: Eukaryota; Viridiplantae; Streptophyta; Magnoliopsida; Fabales; Fabaceae.